RNAcentral lists this long non-coding RNA (201 nucleotides) under Elaeis guineensis (African oil palm). RNAcentral describes it as "long non-coding RNA (EGUI_LNC051704)". Lineage: Eukaryota; Viridiplantae; Streptophyta; Magnoliopsida; Arecales; Arecaceae. The record is from RNAcentral.
AUGGUACUACUGCUCACAGUGAGGUUGCUGGAGUUUGAUUGAUACAUAAACCUACCUAAGUCUCAAUGAGCCCUUGUAGUGGAUGUUGGUGAUAGUUGGUCCACUGUAGAAGUAGGAUGCAUAUCAAGAUGAGAUCUAUCGACCUUGAUAGAGAGGAGUAGUCCUAUGGGAAGGAACACAGUGUGAUUGAUGGAAAGGAGU